This 107-nucleotide small nucleolar RNA is filed under the name Oryza glumipatula. Its description in RNAcentral is "Plant small nucleolar RNA R71". It matches the Rfam family "Plant small nucleolar RNA R71". Rfam says of the family: R71 is a member of the C/D box family of snoRNAs containing the C (UGAUGA) and D (CUGA) box motifs. Multiple nearly identical copies of this snoRNA have been identified in Arabidopsis, and it is thought to function as a 2'-O-ribose methylation guide for 18S ribosomal RNA. Lineage: Eukaryota; Viridiplantae; Streptophyta; Magnoliopsida; Poales; Poaceae. The record is from Rfam by way of RNAcentral.
AUCCUGUGGUGAGGACAUGCGGCCACAUACUCCUGGAGUCGCUCCCAUGAUUCGGGAAUCGACUCGUCCCUCGUCUGCUGGAAUUCUGAAAUCCUCCUGCGAAGGGC